UUCUUGGAUCAGGUGGCUAAUUUCAUCAUCGAGAACACUAAAGGCCACACUCUAGGCCCAGCCCCCGCCUCGGCCACAGACCCCUUCACAGGUGCGGGACGCUACAUUCCGGGUUCAGGAGGUGACGACCAAGGAUUUGGCGCUGAUCCUUUCACAGGGGCUGGACGAUAUAUACCCGGGUCAGAAUCCACAGGCACAGUGUCUUCAGGCAGAGCUGAUCCAUUUACUGGU
Long non-coding RNA from Sinocyclocheilus rhinocerous, 231 nucleotides. RefSeq lists it as uncharacterized. The transcript is spliced from 3 exons. Lineage: Eukaryota; Metazoa; Chordata; Actinopteri; Cypriniformes; Cyprinidae. The record is from RefSeq and is a predicted model, not a curated record.